RNAcentral lists this long non-coding RNA (1413 nucleotides) under Oreochromis niloticus (Nile tilapia). Its description in RNAcentral is "lncRNA (ENSONIG00000031780.1)". The record is from RNAcentral. Lineage: Eukaryota; Metazoa; Chordata; Actinopteri; Cichliformes; Cichlidae.
GUCAUAAUGUUACUAAUGCGAUCUAUAACUUAUGUUUCUCAAACAGGCAACGAUUACAUUGUUAAUAAUACACUGGUGACUUGGAAUGAGGCCAAAACCAGCUGUGAAAACAAAAAUUCAGCUCUGGCACAAAUCCUUGAUGUGAAAACAUUUGAUAAAGUCAGGAGUGUAUUUCAAAAUAAUCAUCUUAACCCAUUUGAAGCACUGUGGAUUGGCCUUAGUUUUUCUCCAGCCUGGUUUUGGUCAGAAACCAAACAAAUCAGCACAUUCAUGAACUGGCAAACAGGGCAACCUAACAAUGAGAAUAAUUGUGCUGCUGUAUUGGUGGAAAAUGGAACGUGGACCACCGAACCAUGCAAUGAACAAUAUCCUUUCUUCUGCUAUGGAGUUUACAAAUCAAAGAAAACAGUGGUGAGCAUGAAUAUCCAAACUGAUGCCGACCUGGAAAAUCCAGAUAACCAGGCUGCGCUGAUGGAGCAGCUGCAAGCAGCACUCACUAAGCAGGGUGUGACUGACUUCAAACUGAAAUGGACGAAACAGCCUGUGCAAAAGAGCAGGAAGAAAAUUGAUGGUACACACACACACACACACACACACACACACACACACACACACACAUACAGAAUGAGUUUUCUCUGAAUAUUUAAAUGGUUUUAUCUCAUUUCAGAUGCUUGUUUGAAUGUGUGAGAUCAAGUCCCAGAAGACUGUGCUACAACACUGUUCAUUUAAAGAAGGAUUACUUUAAAUUGUUCACUCAUCAAGUUUGCUAUUAGUUCAUUAUAUUAGUCUAGGUAUAAAACUACAUAUUUUGUGUGCAUCGUGUGAAUUGGAAACAUUCAAAUUUUCUCAUUUCAGUUUUGCAUUUAAAUGUUUGACACCACAGUGUAACUUUGAGGUAAUACAUCAGGGAUCCAUUUCAUUCCCCCAAGGCAUCAAAUAAUGCUGUUUUGUUAAACCUGCUGGUGUAUGUCAGUUGUUCGCAAAGUGCCUGUUUAGAGAGAAAUGUGAUGCAUCAAUUUAUUGGAUUACUGACACUUGGUUGUCAGUCCCAACCUUUCAGCAUGUAUGGUUCCAUACAGUUGCGAGUGUAGAAAUUUAGAUCAACAGAUAAACUGACAGCUUUGCUUUCACAUUAUUCUCUUCUGUAGAUGCAGCACCAGUACAUCUGUCAAUCUCCAGCUACACUCUCUCCUCACUUGUUAAAAACCCCAAUUCUCCAUUUAAAUUCUCCAGUUACAAUGAAUAUUGUUAUCAUUAUUUUUUCCAUAGAUAACAAUGUUGUUACUGUACAUCCUCAUGAAAACAUAAAUAGGUUAUCAGGUAUGAGUUAAAAUGCAUUCUUUACACACUAAGAUGAUUAUUCAUCUUAAAUCUUCCCUACUGUAAAAUCCUAUUAAAAGUUGAAAUAACCUG